RNAcentral lists this unclassified non-coding RNA (779 nucleotides) under uncultured Bordetella sp. Its description in RNAcentral is "partial 16S-23S ribosomal RNA intergenic spacer". It matches the Rfam family "Bacterial small subunit ribosomal RNA", at positions 713 to 1499 of the family's 1533-position model. Lineage: Bacteria; Pseudomonadati; Pseudomonadota; Betaproteobacteria; Burkholderiales; Alcaligenaceae. The record is from RNAcentral.
CGGCGAAGGCAGCCUCCUGGGAUAACACUGACGCUCAUGCACGAAAGCGUGGGGAGCAAACAGGAUUAGAUACCCUUUAGUCCACGCCCUAAACGAUGUCAACUAGCUGUUGGGGCCUUCGGGCCUUGGUAGCGCAGCUAACGCGUGAAGUUGACCGCCUGGGGAGUACGGUCGCAAGAUUAAAACCCAAAGGAAUUGACGGGGACCCGCACAAGCGGUGAUGAUGUGGAUUAAUUCGAUGCAACGCGAAAACCUUACCUACCCUGACAUGUCUGGAAUCCCGAAGAGAUUUGGGAGUGCUCGCAAGAGAACCGGAACACAGGUGCUGCAUGGCUGUCGUCAGCUCGUGUCGUGAGAUGUUGGGUUAAGUCCCGCAACGAGCGCAACCCUUGUCAUUAGUUGCUACGAAAGGGCACUCUAAUGAGACUGCCGGUGACAAACCGGAGGAAGGUGGGGAUGACGUCAAGUCUCUCAUGGCCCUUAUGGGUAGGGCUUCACACGUCAUACAAUGGUCGGGACAGAGGGUCGCCAACCCGCGAGGGGGAGCCAAUCCCAGAAACCCGAUCGUAGUCCGGAUCGCAGUCUGCAACUCUGACUGCGUGAAGUCGGAAUCGCUAGAAUCGCGGAUCAGCAUGUCGCGGUGAAUACAUGUUCCCGGGUCUUGUACACACCGCCCGUCACACCAUGGGAGUGGGUUUUACCAGAAGUAGUUAGCCUAACCGCAGGAGGGCGAUUACCACGGUAGGAUUCAUGACUGGGGUGAAGUCGUAACAAGGUAA